Molecule: ribosomal RNA, 492 nt
Filed under: uncultured bacterium
Lineage: Bacteria
Description: partial 16S ribosomal RNA
Rfam family: Bacterial small subunit ribosomal RNA
Source: RNAcentral
AGUGAACGCUGGCGGUAGGCCUAACACAUGCAAGUCGAACGGCAGCACAGUAAGAGCUUGCUCUUACGGGUGGUGAGUGGCGGACGGGUGAGGAAUACAUCGGAAUCUACUUUUUCGUGGGGGAUAACGUAGGGAAACUUACGCUAAUACCGCAUACGACCUACGGGUGAAAGCAGGGGAUCUUCGGACCUUGCGCGAUUGAAUGAGCCGAUGUCGGAUUAGCUAGUUGGCGGGGUAAAGGCCCACCAAGGCGACGGUCCGUAGCUGGUCUGAGAGGAUGAUCAGCCACACUGGAACUGAGACACGGUCCAGACUCCUACGGGAGGCAGCAGUGGGGAAUAUUGGACAAUGGGCGCAAGCCUGAUCCAGCCAUACCGCGUGGGUGAAGAAGGCCUUCGGGUUGUAAAGCCCUUUUGUUGGGAAAGAAAAGCAGCAGGUUAAUACCCCGCUGUUCUGACGGUACCCAAAGAAUAAGCACCGGCUAACUUCGUG